AGUUCGAUCAUGGCUCAGAUUGAACGCUGGCGGGAUGCUUUACACAUGCAAGUCGAACGGCAGCACGGACUUCGUCUGGUGGCGAGUGGCGAACGGGUGAGUAAUGUAUCGGAACGUGCCUAGUAGCGGGGGAUAGCUACGCGAAAGCGUAGCUAAUACCACAUACGCCCUUCGGGGAAAGCGGGGGACAACUGGACCUCGCACUAUUCCGGCAACCGAUAUCGGAUUAGCUAGUUGGUGGGGUAACGGCUCACCAAGGCGACGAUCCGUAGCUGGUUUGAGAGGACGACCAGCCACACUGGGACUGAGACCACGGCCCAGACUCCUACGAGGCAGCGUUGAAAUUUUGGACAAUGGAAACCUGAUCCAGCCAUCCCGCGUGUGCGAUGAAGGCCUUCGGGUUGUAAAGCACUUUUGGCAGGAAAGAAACGGCACGGGAUAAUACCCCGAUACAGCUGACUGGCCUGCAGAAUAAGCACCGGCUAACUACGUGCCAGCAGCCGCGGUAAUACGUAGGGUGCAAGCGUUAAUCGGAAUUACUGGGCGUAAAGCGUGCGCAGGCGGUUCCGGAAGAAAGAUGUGAAAUCCCCAGAGCUUAACUUUGGAACUGCAUUUUUAACUACCGAGCUAGAGUGUGUCAGAGGAGGUGGAAUUCCGCGUGUAGCAGUGAAAUGCGUAGAUAUGCGGAGGAGGAACACCGAUGGCGAAGGCAGCCUCCUGGGAUAACACUGACGCUCAUGCACGAAAGCGUGGGGAGCAAACAGGAUUAGAAACCACGGUAGUCCACGCCUAAACGAUGUCAACUAGCUGUUGGGGCCUUCGGGCCUUGGUAGCGCAACUAACGCGUGAAGUUGACCGCCUGGGAGAGUACGGUCGCAAGAUUAAAACUCAAAAGGAAUUGACGGGGACCGCACAAGCGGUGGAUGAUGUGGAUUAAUUCGAUGCAACGCGAAAAACCUUACCUACCCUUGACAUGUCUGGAAUCCCGAAGAGAUUUGGGAGUGCUCGCAAGAGAACCGGAACACAGGUGCUGCAUGGCUGUCGUCAGCUCGUGUCGUGAGAUGUUGGGUUAAGUCCCGCAACGAGCGCAACCCUUGUCGUGAGUUGCUACGAAAGGGCACUCUAAUGAGACUGCCGGUGACAAACCGGAGGAAGGUGGGGAUGACGUCAAGUCCUCAUGGCCCUUAUGGGUGAGGGCUUCACACGUCAUACGUGGUCGGGACAAAUGUCGCCAACCCCGCUGGGGGAGCCAAUCCCAGAAACCCGAUCGUAGUGGAUCACGAAGUCUGCAACUCGACUGCGUGAAGUCGGAAUCGCUAGUAAUCGCGGAUCAGCAUGUCGCGGUGAAUACGUUUUCCGGGUCUUACAUACACACCGCCCGUCACACCAUGGGAGUGGGUUUUACCAGAAGUAAUUUAGCUAACCGUAAGGAGGCGAUUACCACGGUAGGAUUCAUGACUGGGGUGAAGUCGUAACAAGGUAACUCUGUUACCUGAUCCCAG
RNAcentral lists this ribosomal RNA (1502 nucleotides) under uncultured Bordetella sp. RNAcentral describes it as "partial 16S-23S ribosomal RNA intergenic spacer". It matches the Rfam family "Bacterial small subunit ribosomal RNA". The record is from RNAcentral. Lineage: Bacteria; Pseudomonadati; Pseudomonadota; Betaproteobacteria; Burkholderiales; Alcaligenaceae.